UAAAAACAAAAUCUUCAUCAUUCACACAAUUCAAUCAAAUUUCAUGGGUGUAACGUCAACAUUUUCAUCAUUCCCAUAAUUCAAUCAAAUACCAUGGGUUUAAUAGUAGCGUUUUCAUCAUUAACUCAAUUCAAUCAAAUUUUAAUGGUUUUAAGAGCAACAAUUUUAUCAUUCCCACAAGUCAAUCAAUUUUCACGGGUUUAAGAGUAACAUUUUCAUCAUUCCCACAAUUCAAUAAAAUUUCAUGGGUUUAACAGCAACAUUUUCAUCAUUCA
This 275-nucleotide long non-coding RNA is filed under the name Lathyrus oleraceus (garden pea). Its description in RNAcentral is "Pisum sativum (pea) long non-coding RNA (PSAT_LNC039705)". The record is from RNAcentral. Lineage: Eukaryota; Viridiplantae; Streptophyta; Magnoliopsida; Fabales; Fabaceae.